Oncorhynchus tshawytscha (Chinook salmon) is the source of this 855-nucleotide long non-coding RNA. RefSeq lists it as uncharacterized. The record is from RefSeq and is a predicted model, not a curated record. NCBI's taxonomy places the organism in Eukaryota, Metazoa, Chordata, Actinopteri, Salmoniformes, Salmonidae. The transcript has 2 exons.
UCUAGAUUUAACUUUAGCCUGCAGCUUUGAUAUGUGCUGAGAGAAGGACAGUGUACCUUCUAGGCAUACUUCUAGCCAUACGUACUUGUAUGAGAAGACUACCUCAAACUCAGAGAUAAUAAUCACACCUGUUGGGAGAGGGGCAUUCUUCUUACCAAACCACAUGACCUUCGUUUCGAAGGGGUUCAGAACUAGAUUAAGGGCAGAGAAAGCUUGUUGGACACUAAGAAUGCUUUGUUGUAGAGCGUUUAACACAAAAUCCGGGGAGGGGCCAGUUGAGUAUAAGACUAAGAUUCUGUGCCCUCAGUUUCCAAGCCAGUUACCUCGGGACAAACACAGCUGUAGGCUAUUUGUGCACAGGAUAAGAAGUAAUCAGGGCUACUCUACCGCCCUGCAAACUCUGACAACGCCACCUUCUCCUUCCAGCUGGACAGCUACGAGGCCAUGAACCUCCAGCACCAGAACACUGCUCAACAAGAUGGCUGGCCUCGCCUGAUGACGUCACCUCCUGUUCCUAAACUACAAGAAAUGGCUGCAGGAUUUGAGAUUGUUGCACUUUGAAACUGAACAGUUAUGGUUUGAUAAAUCUCAGCAUCCAGUUCAAGCAUGUGGCAUGGCCACACUAACAAGAGACUAGGAUUGGACUAAUGGACUUUUGUACCGAACAAGAGCACAAUUCAGUUGUUAUAGUAUGUUUCUGUGGAAUAUACAUGAUGUUUGAAUGUAAAUGUAAGCCAGGAAUGCCACUGUCAAUACUCUUAUAAGGGUGUUUGCUGUGCAAACAGAUUAAUCAAGAACAUGGUAGUCCGUGUAUGAGGGCAUAUAGUAGUGCUGCUGAACAUAUUGUAGGGAAAU